CAGCCGCCACGGUAAAACGUAGGGUGCAAGUGUUAAUCGGAAUUACUGGGCGUAAAGCGUGCGCAGGCGGUUAUAUAAGACAGAUGUGAAAUCCCCGGGCUCAACCUGGGAACUGCAUUUGUGACUGUAUAGCUAGAGUACGGCAGAGGGGGAUGGAAUUCCGCGUGUAGCAGUGAAAUGCGUAGAUAUGCGGAGGAACACCGAUGGCGAAGGCAAUCCCCUGGGCCUGUACUGACGCUCAUGCACGAAAGCGUGGGGAGCAAACAGGAUUAGAUACCCCUGUAGUCCCUGUCUCUUAUAA
RNAcentral lists this ribosomal RNA (301 nucleotides) under uncultured bacterium. RNAcentral describes it as "partial 16S ribosomal RNA". It matches the Rfam family "Bacterial small subunit ribosomal RNA", at positions 509 to 809 of the family's 1533-position model. The record is from RNAcentral.